UACGGGGGGGGCAAGCGUUGUUCGGAAUUACUGGGCGUAAAGGGCUCGUAGGCGGCCAACUAAGUCAAACGUGAAAUCCCUCGGCUUAACCGGGGAACUGCGUCUGAUACUGGAUGGCUUGAGUUUGGGAGAGGGAUGCGGAAUUCCAGGUGUAGCGGUGAAAUGCGCAGAUAUCAGGAGGAACACCGAUGGCGAAGGCAGGUCUCUGGGCCACUACUGACGCUGAGAAGCGAAAGCAUGGGGAGCGAACAGG
Molecule: ribosomal RNA, 253 nt
Filed under: uncultured bacterium
Lineage: Bacteria
Description: partial 16S ribosomal RNA
Rfam family: Bacterial small subunit ribosomal RNA
Source: RNAcentral